This 503-nucleotide ribosomal RNA is filed under the name uncultured bacterium. Its description in RNAcentral is "partial 16S ribosomal RNA". It matches the Rfam family "Bacterial small subunit ribosomal RNA", at positions 30 to 523 of the family's 1533-position model. The record is from RNAcentral.
AUUGAACGCUGGCGGAAUGCUUUACACAUGCAAGUCGAGCGGGGUGAUGGUGCUUGCACUAUCACUUAGCGGCGGACGGGUGAGUAAUGCUUAGGAAUCUGCCUAUUAGUGGGGGACAACAUCUCGAAAGGGAUGCUAAUACCGCAUACGUCCUGCGGGAGAAAGCAGGGGAUCACUUGUGACCUUGCGCUAAUAGAUGAGCCUAAGUCGGAUUAGCUAGUUGGUGGGGUAAAGGCCUACAAAGGCGACGAUCUGUAGCGGGUCUGAGAGGAUGAUCCGCCACACUGGGACUGAGACACGGCCCAGACUCCUACGGGAGGCAGCAGUGGGGAAUAUUGGACAAUGGGGGGAACCCUGAUCCAGCCAUGCCGCGUGUGUGAAGAAGGCCUUAUGGUUGUAAAGCACUUUAAGCGAGGAGGAGGCUCUUUUGGUUAAUACCCAAGAUGAGUGGACGUUACUCGCAGAAUAAGCACCGGCUAACUCUGUGCCAGCAGCCGCCGUAA